GGAAGGAUCAUUAUUGAAUAAAAAAUUGAACAGGUUGUUGCUGGCUUUCUUGAGGCAUGUGCACACUUGUCAUUUUAUUUCUCCACUGUGCAUCAACUGUAGGUCUGAAGUAUGUUUCUGAAAUUUUCGAUUGAGGACUGCUGUGCUUUCUUGAAAGUCAGCUCUUCCUUGCAUCUUCAGGUCUAUUUUACAAACUCUCAAUGUGUUUGGAAUGUGAAUAUAUAUAUUAUAUAUACAACUUUCAGCAACGGAUCUCUUGGCUCUCGCAUCGAUGAAGAACGCAGCGAAAUGCGAUAAGUAAUGUGAAUUGCAGAAUUCAGUGAAUCAUCGAAUCUUUGAACGCAUCUUGCGCUCCUUGGUAUUCUGAGGAGCAUGCCUGUUUGAGUGUCAUCAAGUUCUCAACCACAUCAAUUUGCUUUUUGAUGUGGCAUUGGAUAUGGGAGUUGCAGGGCCUUAUUGUUUGGGUCUGCUUUCCUAAAAUAAAUUAGUGGUGUCUGAGCAGAGGCCUUACUACAGGUGUGAUAACUAUCUAUGCCUAUGUAAAACACUGCGCAAACUGCUUCAAAUCUCAUUUGUUGACCAAUUUGACCUCAAAUCAGGUAGGACUACCCGCUGAACUUAAGCAUAUCAAUAAGCGGAGGAAAAGAAACUAACAAGGAUUCCCCUAGUAACUGCGAGUGAAGCGGGAAAAGCUCAAAUUUGAAAUCUGGUGGUUUUUGACCAUCCGAGUUGUAAUCUAGAGAAGUGUUACCCGUGCUGGACUGUGUACAAGUCUCCUGGAAUGGGGCAUCAUAGAGGGUGAGAAUCCCGUCUUUGACAUGGACUACCAGUGCACUGUGGGUGUGCUCUCAAAGAGUCGAGUUGUUUGGGAAUGCAGCUCAAAAUGGGUGGUAAAUGCCAUCUAAAGCUAAAUAUUGGCGAGAGACCGAUAGCGAACAAGUACCGUGAGGC
This 951-nucleotide small RNA is filed under the name uncultured fungus. Its description in RNAcentral is "eukaryotic LSU rRNA". The stretch from base 586 to 951 matches the Rfam family "Eukaryotic large subunit ribosomal RNA", at positions 1 to 359 of the family's 3401-position model. Lineage: Eukaryota; Fungi. The record is from RNAcentral.